RNAcentral lists this long non-coding RNA (1514 nucleotides) under Homo sapiens (human). RNAcentral's name for it is "HSALNT0381794". Lineage: Eukaryota; Metazoa; Chordata; Mammalia; Primates; Hominidae. The record is from RNAcentral.
AGGGUUUCUCCAUGUUGGCCAGGCUGGUCUCAAACUCCUGACCUCAGGUGAUACACCUGCCUUGGCCUCCCAAAGUGCUGGGAUUACAGGCAUGAGCCACCACGCCUGGCCUUUGUACCUGCUUUUUCAGGUCUUUGCAUGGUUAACCCCUCAUCAUUCAGUUUUUAGUGUAGUAAUAUAGUAAUCAUGUCUCCCCCACCUCAUCCCUUUCUAUCUUAUUAUGUUGUUUAAGAUAUUCACAGAAAUGAUCACUGCUAUAAUUAUCUUUUAAUUAUGCUUUUGCUUACUUUUUUGUUGGCUAUCUCCCCUGGAGUUUGAGCUCCAAUGGAGCAGGGCCCUCACCUGUCUUAUUUACCAUGUAUCUACACAGUAGAUGCUCAAGUAACAUUUAUUCAAUGAAUAAAUGAAUGCAUUACAAAAUGAGGAGGAGCUGGAGUUCCAGGCAGCCCCUAGAUUCCCUGUUGGGUCUUCUUUCCUCUGCCCCAUGCACACACAGUACACACUGUUGACUAAUGUUUAACUCAUAGAGGAGUUUGGGCUUGACAUGUGACCUCACUCAGCCUCUGUUUCAUUUGUGAAGUAAGAAAUAAGAGUGGGCGGCUGGGCGUGGUGGCUCAUGCCUGUAAUCCCAGCACUUUGGGAGUCUGAGGUGGGCAGAUCACGAGGUCAGGAGAUCAAGACUAUCCUGGCUAACACGGUGAAACACCAUCUCUACUAAAAAUAGAAAAAAUUAGCCGGGCAUGAUGGCACAUACUUGUAGUCCCAGCUACUCAGGAGGCUGAGGCAGGAGAAUUGCUUGAACCGGGGAGGUGGAGGUUGCAGUGAGCCAAGAUUGUGCCACUGCUCUCCAGCCUGGGUGACACAGCGAGACUCCAUCUCAAAAAAAAAAAAAAAAAAAAAAAAGGAGUGGGCUUAUUUCACAUAAGCCCACUCCUUGCUAAACCAACAAUGAUUGCCUAAGAUGCACGGAGCCAGUUGGUGGAAAAGUCCAUAGACUAUCAGAGUUGAAUGGUGCUGGUCAGGUGGGAGGAGCACCUCAUUCCUGCUUCCCCAUCAAGUUACUUGCCUUGGCCUGCUUCCUACUCUCUGGGUCACUGGUGCUCACACAGCCUUUCCCAACCCCCACCUCCAAAGGUCAUAUUUUACAGCUCCUUGUGAGGAAUUCACAUCAUGCCAUGACCUUCACUAUGAGAAAGCACAGGCUGUAAAAGGCCAGCCUGGCUCCCUGCUCCGUGGUUAAAUAUUGAUGAUAUUGGGCAAUAGAGACCUGGAGUGGGCACACUACAUAUCCCCCUGCAGUGAUGGAACCCACAGACCGCAGGUCCUCUGCAGUCCAUUCUCCUGCCUGUCCAGAGGAUCCGGAUGUUUUCUCUUUACUUGAGGCCAACACAUAACAAUGAAAGCACUGGGCUACUGGUGCUUUCGGAUUGUGAAAGUCAGGUGGAGCCUGUUUGCACUCUGAGUGCACUCAUUCAAGAGGUCAGUCACCCUGGAGUGAUACAGAAGGCUCCAGG